RNAcentral lists this ribosomal RNA (595 nucleotides) under Microbacterium aurantiacum. RNAcentral's name for it is "bacterial SSU rRNA". It matches the Rfam family "Bacterial small subunit ribosomal RNA", at positions 282 to 886 of the family's 1533-position model. The record is from RNAcentral. Lineage: Bacteria; Bacillati; Actinomycetota; Actinomycetes; Micrococcales; Microbacteriaceae.
GGUAGCCGGCCUGAGAGGGUGACCGGCCACACUGGGACUGAGACACGGCCCAGACUCCUACGGGAGGCAGCAGUGGGGAAUAUUGCACAAUGGGCGGAAGCCUGAUGCAGCAACGCCGCGUGAGGGAUGACGGCCUUCGGGUUGUAAACCUCUUUUAGCAGGGAAGAAGCGAAAGUGACGGUACCUGCAGAAAAAGCGCCGGCUAACUACGUGCCAGCAGCCGCGGUAAUACGUAGGGCGCAAGCGUUAUCCGGAAUUAUUGGGCGUAAAGAGCUCGUAGGCGGUUUGUCGCGUCUGCUGUGAAAUCUGGGGGCUCAACCCCCAGCCUGCAGUGGGUACGGGCAGACUAGAGUGCGGUAGGGGAGAUUGGAAUUCCUGGUGUAGCGGUGGAAUGCGCAGAUAUCAGGAGGAACACCGAUGGCGAAGGCAGAUCUCUGGGCCGUAACUGACGCUGAGGAGCGAAAGGGUGGGGAGCAAACAGGCUUAGAUACCCUGGUAGUCCACCCCGUAAACGUUGGGAACUAGUUGUGGGGUCCAUUCCACGGAUUCCGUGACGCAGCUAACGCAUUAAGUUCCCCGCCUGGGGGAGUACGGA